UGCCAUCGGAUGUGCCCAGAUGGGAUUAGCUAGUAGGUGGGGUAACGGCUCACCUAGGCGACGAUCCCUAGCUGGUCUGAGAGGAUGACCAGCCACACUGGAACUGAGACACGGUCCAGACUCCUACGGGAGGCAGCAGUGGGGAAUAUUGCACAAUGGGCGCAAGCCUGAUGCAGCCAUGCCGCGUGUAUGAAGAAGGCCUUCGGGUUGUAAAGUACUUUCAGCGGGGAGGAAGGGAGUAAAGUUAAUACCUUUGCUCAUUGACGUUACCCGCAGAAGAAGCACCGGCUAACUCCGUGCCAGCAGCCGCGGUAAUACGGAGGGUGCAAGCGUUAAUCGGAAUUACUGGGCGUAAAGCGCACGCAGGCGGUUUGUUAAGUCAGAUGUGAAAUCCCCGGGCUCAACCUGGGAACUGCAUCUGAUACUGGCAAGCUUGAGUCUCGUAGAGGGGGGUAGAAUUCCAGGUGUAGCGGUGAAAUGCGUAGAG
RNAcentral lists this ribosomal RNA (487 nucleotides) under Escherichia coli. Its description in RNAcentral is "bacterial SSU rRNA". It matches the Rfam family "Bacterial small subunit ribosomal RNA", at positions 216 to 695 of the family's 1533-position model. Lineage: Bacteria; Pseudomonadati; Pseudomonadota; Gammaproteobacteria; Enterobacterales; Enterobacteriaceae. The record is from RNAcentral.